RNAcentral lists this ribosomal RNA (494 nucleotides) under uncultured bacterium. Its description in RNAcentral is "partial 16S ribosomal RNA". It matches the Rfam family "Bacterial small subunit ribosomal RNA", at positions 28 to 507 of the family's 1533-position model. The record is from RNAcentral.
GACGAACGCUGGCGGCGCGCUUAACACAUGCAAGUCGAACGGAAAGGCCUGCUUUCCCUUGUGGAUUGCGGGUACUCGAGUGGCGAACGGGUGAGUAACACGUGAGCGAUCUGCCCCCAACUUGGGUAUAAGCCUGGGAAACUGGGUCUAAUUCCCGAUAGGACUGCAGGGUGGUGCCUGUGGUGGAAAACGAUUUUCUAGUGGUUGGGGAUGAGCUCGCGGCCUAUCAGCUUGUUGGUGGGGUAAUGGCCUACCAAGGCGGCGACGGGUAGCCGGCCUGAGAGGGUGGACGGCCACAUUGGGACUGAGAUACGGCCCAGACUCCUACGGGAGGCAGCAGUGGGGAAUAUUGCACAAUGGGCGGAAGCCUGAUGCAGCGACGCCGCGUGGGGGAUGACGGCCUUCGGGUUGUAAACUCCUUUCGACCGCGAGGAAGCCACCUGGUUGGAAGGGUGGUGACGGUAGUGGUAGAAGAAGCACCGGCUAACUACGUG